This 312-nucleotide long non-coding RNA is filed under the name Elaeis guineensis (African oil palm). RNAcentral's name for it is "long non-coding RNA (EGUI_LNC050071)". The record is from RNAcentral. Lineage: Eukaryota; Viridiplantae; Streptophyta; Magnoliopsida; Arecales; Arecaceae.
UCUACUUGAUGUUGAUGAGGGACUCCGAACCCUUCCGGGGGCGCCGGCUGCUGACAAAAUGGGCCACAAAUUGGUUGCUCAUUUGAUUGAAGGAGAAGAUGGUACCCGGUUUCAAAGCCGAAUACCAGUUCCUCGCUGCUCCCUUCAAAGUAGACAGGAAAGCCCGGCAUAAGAUGGCGUCAGGAGCACCGUGAAGCAGCAUCAUCGUCCGGAAGGCCUCCAGAUGAUCAACCAGGUCUGAAGUCCCGUCGUAGCUUUCGAACUGGGGAAGCUUGAAGUUUGGCGGGAUCGGUUCCUGCAUAAUCGUUUGGG